RNAcentral lists this transfer RNA (74 nucleotides) under Cotesia glomerata. Its description in RNAcentral is "tRNA-Thr". It matches the Rfam family "tRNA". From Rfam's summary of the family: Transfer RNA (tRNA) molecules are approximately 80 nucleotides in length. RNAcentral also lists the same sequence under 8 other names. The record is from RNAcentral. Lineage: Eukaryota; Metazoa; Arthropoda; Insecta; Hymenoptera; Braconidae.
GGCGCCGUGGCUUAGUUGGUUAAAGCGCCUGUCUAGUAAACAGGAGAUCGGGGGUUCGAAUCCCCCCGGAGCCU